Molecule: long non-coding RNA, 334 nt
Organism: Dromiciops gliroides (monito del monte)
Lineage: Eukaryota; Metazoa; Chordata; Mammalia; Microbiotheria; Microbiotheriidae
Exons: 3
Source: RefSeq, a predicted model, not a curated record
GGAGGCAUUUAAGAGAUUAUCUUGUCGUAUCUAGUAUAUUUUUUCAUUUACUCAUUCAUACAGGAGUUCUUGGAGCAGCUUGGUGGCCCAGUGGAUAAAGCAUUGGCCAUGGAAUCAGAAAGAUUCAUCUUCCUGAGGUCUAAUGUAACCUCAGACACUAGCUGUGUGACCUUAGAUGCAUGUCCUCAGAAAAGUCUCCUUAUAGCUGCAUGGAAGGGGCCCAGUCUACCCCCUCACAGCCCACUUCCUCUAUGUGAUUACCAUACAACUCACCGGAUUCUGUUUCCUCAACUCUAGUAGGCUUCCACCAGUCGAGGACGACCAUGGAUCAGUG